GACGAACGCUGGCGGCGUGCUUAACACAUGCAAGUCGAACGGAAAGGCCCUGCUUGCAGGGUACUCGAGUGGCGAACGGGUGAGUAACACGUGGGUGAUCUGCCCUGCACUUCGGGAUAAGCCUGGGAAACUGGGUCUAAUACCGGAUAGGAGCCAUUUUUAGUGUGAUGGUUGGAAAGUUUUUUCGGUGUAGGAUGAGCUCGCGGCCUAUCAGCUUGUUGGUGGGGUAAUGGCCUACCAAGGCGGCGACGGGUAGCCGGCCUGAGAGGGUGGACGGCCACAUUGGGACUGAGAUACGGCACAGACUCCUACGGGAGGCAGCAGUGGGGAAGAUUGCACAAUGGGCGCAAGCCUGAUGCAGCGACGCCGCGUGGGGGAUGACGGCCUUCGGGUUGUAAACUCCUUUCGCUAGGGACGAAGCUUUUUGUGACGGUACCUAGAUAAGAAGCACCGGCUAACUACGUG
RNAcentral lists this ribosomal RNA (465 nucleotides) under uncultured bacterium. RNAcentral describes it as "partial 16S ribosomal RNA". It matches the Rfam family "Bacterial small subunit ribosomal RNA", at positions 28 to 507 of the family's 1533-position model. The record is from RNAcentral.